UUGAAGACCCUUCUGUUAGGGCUCCGUUCUCCCCUUGUUCCACGGCGAUGGCUGAGCCCCCUCUGCAGGCAAGGGGAGAUGGUGUUUUUGACGAGAUGAUGCAAGCGGCUAAGUAGAUCUUUGACAAUGUCUUCCCCCUCUUGGCCUGCAGAAGUCUCUCCGGUGGUUCAAGUGGAAGAUGGACCAUUUGAGUCCUCUUAUGCUCCUACCCGAGACGGGAUACAGGGGAGGCCUGCCUGAGGCUAAAGCUCGAGUCAGUGCUGUCGUGGCAUGCCUAAAGUUUCACAGGGAUGGGGGCGCGGCUCCCGGAAACACAUUCUGACGAAGGGAGGGUUAAAGGUCUUGCUAGGUGUUUGGGAUGUUCGUGGACGGCUGCGAUGUUUCCAACUGCGGGUGCUUCAGGAGGCAUAGCCUUGUUGUGGUACUCCACCAUUGUCAGGGCUUAGGUGUUUCCUAUCCAUUCUUAGGUUUUGCAUGCUGUGAUUCAAUUUAGAGACUCAGAUCCUUGGAUUUUUUCUGGAAUUUACUCUAGAGUCUCAAUCUUAAACCGUAAUCUUUUAUGGGAUUCACUUUCUUCGGCUGA
This is a long non-coding RNA of Musa acuminata subsp. malaccensis (wild Malaysian banana), 583 nucleotides long. RefSeq lists it as uncharacterized. The record is from RefSeq and is a predicted model, not a curated record. NCBI's taxonomy places the organism in Eukaryota, Viridiplantae, Streptophyta, Magnoliopsida, Zingiberales, Musaceae.